Molecule: long non-coding RNA, 1672 nt
Organism: Oreochromis aureus
Lineage: Eukaryota; Metazoa; Chordata; Actinopteri; Cichliformes; Cichlidae
Exons: 2
Source: RefSeq, a predicted model, not a curated record
CAAAGGUCUGCAAACUGCUCACCCCCUCUAAGCCAGCCAGAAAACUCUCAUGAUUUGUGAGUUCACUAUAGCUUACCCAUCUGAAAAUUGCUGCCCUUCUAGUUUGUCAGGGGUGUCUGUGGCUCUAUUUUCCCUGGGGUGAUCAGCCACUGAGGAGCUGUCGUCCAGCGAGACCAGGCGGGACACCCUGCUCGCAACGCCACUAUUGUCAUGGAAGUUUAAUUAACAAAGUCGGCAGACACAAUCAGCUGUACCAACCCUCUUUAUUUCUUCAUGCGCAUGAGAGAGAGCAUCCAACAGGGCACUGCUGUGUGAUCUCUAAAGGAAAAGACACAGCUUUCUCUUAAAUAUAGGACUAAACUGAGUCCAAAUGAGUGGUUCAACUCCGUUCUUCAGGUGUCUUCUAUAAUCCAAUCAUAUGGCUGACAGCACCAUUUACUGUUUUCUAUUUAUCAUUUCCCAAUCACCCAGAAUCACUGGGCUGUGCUUGAAAUCAAUGAUUGUUCAAAACCUUCAGAAUAAAGAGUUAGCAUUCUUUCUGUUUUUAACAUAAGCUCAAACUUCUUUUACUCCCUUAAUCUAUCAUGUACAACCGCAGUGGGUAAUUAUUUUCCCAAGGUCCACAUGAGAAAUUGGGACUAUUGUGGAGGGUCACACCAAUAAGCUGAACUCAAUUCUGAUAAAUAUUAGUUUUUAUGUUUUUAUGAAUUGCUACUAGUAAAGGUAGAUGUUACACUUAUGCACUGAAAAUAUGAAAUAACCAUAAUAAAAAUGGUAAUAUUUUAUCACUUUUCAGUUAACAUUCCCAAAAACUCCAUUCCCAUCACUUUGCUGCUGGAAUUUCCCACAAUGCAGGAUAUUUGUAUUCUACUCUAAUUACUUCUAAUUUCCCAAAAUGUCCUUGAUUGGUCUUGUUACAGUUCACCCAGAAAAGGGCAGAUUCUCAAAUGCUUCUUUUUUCUUAGGGUAUCAGAGUUCACCAAACACUCUGACAAAAUCCCAAAAACCAGUUGAUAACAGAGCUGGUCUUGACUCUGUCAAUCUUGAAAAGUAAAAUGUCUGUGAUGCUUUUGGAGCUUUGCUAGCAAAGGUUCAUACUCCCACCCUCACUCUGUAUCAGUUAAGUUCUUGUAUUUCUUGGCAUGUUUAGUCUUGUAGUGGUGACUUAAACUGUAAUCCUUAAACACAGCAAUCUGCUGUCUUCAAACUAAUCACACUGCUUACUGUCAUGGUUCUCAAGAUCUGGAGAGGUCGUGGUGUGUACCUUUUGUCUUAGCCUCUUCCACCAGGGCGGAACUGGGCCCUGAUUCCCCGCCUCUGAACCCGCCCUGAACACACACCUGUGGCUCAUUCACACAGAUCCUGGCAAACUACUUAAGAUGGAAAGAGAGACUGCUUCCUCGCUGGAUCGUCACACUACCUAGCACCUUCUUGAUCCCCUGCCCGUCUUCCCUGCCGUCUGGAUCUCUGUGGACAAGUGUGAGUGAGCGUGAGCUUUUGGAGUGGACAUUCGGAGUGAGCUGAAGAGGGGCGUGUGUGUGCCCCCGUCUUGGACCUUCCCUUUGAACCCCGCUUUACUCCCCCGGAGCCCCGUGUUAUCCGUUUCACUGUAUAUAUGUAUAUAUUCUCACUUGGUGUCACGUUGUGAAUAAACCCUCACCUUCUCUCCAUA